GACGAACGCUGGCGGCGUGCUUAACACAUGCAAGUCGAACGGAAAGGCCUUUUCGGAGGUACUCGAGUGGCGAACGGGUGAGUAACACGUGGGUGAUCUGCCCUACACUCUGGGAUAAGCCUGGGAAACUGGGUCUAAUACCGGAUAGGACCGCACUUUAGUGUGUGUGGUGGAAAGUUUUUUCGGUGUAGGAUGAGCCCGCGGCCUAUCAGCUUGUUGGUGGGGUAAUGGCCUACCAAGGCGGCGACGGGUAGCCGGACUGAGAGGUUGGUCGGCCACAUUGGGACUGAGAUACGGCCCAGACUCCUACGGGAGGCAGCAGUGGGGAAUAUUGCACAAUGGGCGCAAGCCUGAUGCAGCGACGCCGCGGGGGGGAUGACGGCCUUCGGGUUGGAAACUCCUUUCGCCAGGGACGAAGCGUUUUGUGACGGUACCUGGAGAAGAAGCACCGGCUAACUACGUG
RNAcentral lists this ribosomal RNA (463 nucleotides) under uncultured bacterium. RNAcentral describes it as "partial 16S ribosomal RNA". It matches the Rfam family "Bacterial small subunit ribosomal RNA", at positions 28 to 507 of the family's 1533-position model. The record is from RNAcentral.